Molecule: long non-coding RNA, 1598 nt
Filed under: Lactuca sativa (garden lettuce)
Lineage: Eukaryota; Viridiplantae; Streptophyta; Magnoliopsida; Asterales; Asteraceae
Description: long non-coding RNA (LSAT_LNC000100)
Source: RNAcentral
ACAGUAUCUAAAAAGGUAAAUCAAAUUGAAAAAUAUUAAAGCAAUAUAAAGUAGAACAAAUGUGGUUGUAUGUUGAAUAAUCAAGUGAUCAGUUUAUGACUUGCAUAGCCUCUUCAAAUAGAUGCAAGCUACAGCCUUAGUAGUAGGUUCAUUUUAUGGAUAAUAUUUGUAUGAAUGUUCCAUUUAUCAGUAUAUGAAGCACAAAAGCUGAUGAAAAUUCAUAAAAAUAUAUGACAAUCCAAUCCUCUGACAUUUUUUAGAUAAAAAAAAUAAUGCUAAUAAUACAAGAAUGACAAAUAGAAGCAAAUUGGUAUAUGACUCUUGAAGUUAAUAAAUGAUUCUAUAAAAUCGUAAUUUGUAAAAUAUUGUUCUUUUGUAUUAUUAUGUGUCUUUAUAAUCCAAGAAUCUAUAGAAUUUGUAAUUUUGAAAUUCUUGUCCUUUGUUGUUAUUACCAUUUGAUGUGUCUUUUUAAUUUCUAUUGCAAGCAUUAAAAUGAAAUCAAUUGUAAUGCUUAAUGAUGGAACCACUCUUUGAUGUCUUUUAUAGCCUCUAAAGUCUAAAAUCUCAUGCCUAUGAGUUCAGGAACCAACAAGUCAGAUGCUAAAUUAUUGUCAUCCAGGGCAUAUAUCGUAUCUCUAUACCGGAUGAAACUCAAAUCUUGCUUUAACCAAACUCCAAGAUUUAUAAAAUUUCCAUAUAAGCUAAAUUUGUACGCUAUUCUACCAAAAAAAAACAAGUUCUUUUUGACAUUCUUUUGAAUAUUUGUAGGGCAUUCCCAAAAAUCAUCACAGUUUGUACAUAUCGUUAUAAUAAAAUUGAUUCGGAUUUGCAUCAUAAGAAACUUUUAUCUUAAUCACAUACAAACUUAGGAUUAUAGGAAAAUAUAAAUAGUUUAACUUACCUGCCACGGAAAAGGUUCGGGAGAAAAGUAAACGCAAGGAGAAAUUGAAGUUUUCCACACCUUAAACAGAGAUAUCUGCAACGAAUUAAUCAAUUUAUAUAUCAAUUAUAAUCACGUGUAAAAAAAGAGUGUAAACCCAAAUACAUCCACGCUAAAAUCAAAAUCAAUUCAAGAACUUCGUGUUGAAAAUAUCUCUUCUUCUUCGACCUUCAUGUUCCAUCGAUUUGAUGUUCUUGGAUAGAUUUACAUGUAAUCAUUUUUACCGAAGAGGUAGCAAAGCGAGAGAAGUAGGGUAAAGAGGGAAACGGUGGCGUGCCUGAUUAUAUGUGGGAAUGGAAAGACUUUGGUGUGUUAAUGUUGUUUUUUUAUAGAACGGGAGACGUUAAUUAUGGCCUCUUUCUUGGUUUUGUCAUAAUUAUUGCCAAUUUAACACAACUUUCUGGAAUGAAUUGAAGAGACACAUAUUUUUUGAAGAAUCCAUCAUCGUCGGUUAAGACGUAGGCCAACAGUAACCCCUUUUUAAGGAAUCGAAGAUGAUGAAGGAUAUGUGAUGAAAUCGAUUGCUAUAUUGUUGAUCAAUCGAUACGGCACAUUGGAAAACGAGGCGGUAGGAAUCGACUUUCAUGUCUACAGCAUCGUUCUAAAGUUAGGUUACGUGUCAUCCCGGGAACCACAUAAAUGUGUUUUUGGAGGCAUG